This 773-nucleotide ribosomal RNA is filed under the name uncultured Neocallimastigales. RNAcentral's name for it is "partial large subunit ribosomal RNA". It matches the Rfam family "Eukaryotic large subunit ribosomal RNA", at positions 20 to 644 of the family's 3401-position model. The record is from RNAcentral. Lineage: Eukaryota; Fungi; Neocallimastigomycota; Neocallimastigomycetes; Neocallimastigales.
UACUAGAGUAGCACUCGCAUAUCAAUAAGCGGAGGAAAAGAAACUAACAAGGAUUCCCCUAGUAACGGCGAGUGAAGCGGGAAGAGCUCAAAUUUGAAAUCUUAAAGGGUUUCCCUUUACGAAUUGUAGUUUAAAGAAGUGUUUUCUGUUGAGGUUUUGGUAAAAGUUCUUUGGAAUAGGACAUCAUAGAGGGUGAGAAUCCCGUAUUUGACCUUUACUUUCAACUUUGUGAUACACUUACAAAGAGUCGGAUUGUUUGGGAAUGCAGUCCAAAAUGGGUGGUAAAUUUCAUCUAAAGCUAAAUAUUGGCGAGAGACCGAUAGCGAACAAGUACCGUGAGGGAAAGAUGAAAAGAACUUUGAAAAGAGAGUUAAACAGUACGUGAAAUUGUCAAAAGGGAAGCGUUUGACACCAGUGUUGUUUUUCUGAAAAUCAAUAAAGAACUGUUUAUGCUAAGUUGUUUAGACUUUAUCAGCUAUCUGCUUAGUUUUGAGCUUUUCUUUAAUGCACUUUUCAGUUAACAAGUCAACAUCAAUUUCUUUUGCUGUAAAAAAGCUUGAGGAAGGUGGCUUGAGAUUCGUCUUAAGUGUUUAUAGCCUCUUGCCUAUGCAGUCGGAGAGAUUGAGGUCUGCAGCGUAGAUCCUUCGGGGCUAAAUGCAUUUGUGCUAAGUUAUAGCAUUUUAUAGACAACUUGUUGACUAUGAUUUGUCUUGUAGCUUACUCGCUUAUGUUAUUUUACCUACGCUUAGGAUGUUGAACUACUGAGACAUAGA